Molecule: long non-coding RNA, 3204 nt
Organism: Eublepharis macularius
Lineage: Eukaryota; Metazoa; Chordata; Lepidosauria; Squamata; Eublepharidae
Exons: 6
Source: RefSeq, a predicted model, not a curated record
GGUGCCACAUCUCCCCUGCCCCCCACCUCAAUCCAGUGCCAUUUCCCCUCCUGCCCUCCAUUCUCCUGCUCACCACUGGAGAUCUUUUUAAAUAGACUUUUAAAAAAAUAGCUGUAGUGGAUAUAUUGCUAUAAUGUUAAACAAGUAUAGCAAUAUAUGAACUACCAUUUUUUUAAAAAACAGACAAAAAAACCCUACUGGAGGUAGAGCAAGGGGAAAUGGCAAACAUAAGGCGAAAGAUUAGGAAAUCAACUUCAUUUUUCAGUGGACUGCAGCAUUAUGUACCAGUAUGCUGUGACACUUCUCCUGCUUCCCUUCUUGUUCUAGAAAAUGAGGUGCUGGAUUACUGCAGAUGCCAUGCUGGAACCAUGCAGGUUAAGCAGUCAGUCCUCAGUGCACAUUGCCUUACUUCAUGGAAGAUCUUGUAUGAGAUGCGCAAGCUGGCCACAAAGCUUGGAGAAAAUAACACUUGGUCUCAGAAACUCCAGUUCUGAUAGAAGCUGAUGAAUCCUUGUUGCUGUUAAAAAACAAUGUGGCCUAACAGAGGAAAGAAAGCUAGUGCUCAGACAGUAGUGAGAUGGGCGGUACAGGGAAUCACAGAAUACCUCGAUGAACAACAGUUACAGGCUGGCUCACCUAGCAUAAGGAGAAUUCUGAAGCAGAAAGCUACCAAGAACCAUCACUAAAGAGAAUUCCUGGCAGUUUUGUUCUUCUAGUUCCACGAGGCUAAAUUACAACUCUUUUCCCUGGUGCCAUGCAAAAGUGAACGUACAAGAUACCUUCAAGGAACUUACGGGCCUAAACUAAAGAGAGCAUCUUAAAUACAAAGAAGCACCAAAAUUGUGGUAUGAUCAGCAUAUCUGGGAAAAGAUAAGUGCAUUGUGAAGUAUUCAUGUGGAAAUAGCCAUCAAGCAGUCAUAUUUUGAAGAACAGAAGGAGAGACAGAUGGAGCAAAUAGAUAUAAUUGAAUACUGACUGCAUAAAAAUGGUACUGUAAAUGAAAUGAAGAAACACUAUGUAAUAAAGAAAAAAGGAGCACCAUCAAGAACAGAACCUUUAGGAACACCAGCAACAGAAGAAAAGGAAGACAAAUAUGAGCCAUUAACAGAACCGUAACAGAAAUGUUAGUAUUAUGCAGUUGAAAUGAUGAAAAGAGAGAACAAAUAAACAUAGUGAAUGAAGAAACAACAAAAGCAUAGCAUGAUCUAGUGCUCCACACAGAAGAGGGGUUCAAGAAUAAAAAUAAGUUGAAUUAAGCAGACCAAAAAGGAUCAGAAAGAGAGUUAGGUGGGAGAAAGGUACAUUACUGAGCAGCAGGGGGAAAAAAGAUUUUAUUUAUUUAGAAAAUUUUAUACUGCCUUUCCAGAAACUCGACCAGGGCAGCUUACAAAAAAAAUUAAAAACAAAAAGUUAAAAGGUAUUAAAAUCCGCUAUUAAAACUUUAGGAGCUUAGACAGAAAUAAAUGAGAAACAAGACAAUAGAUAGAAUGGAGGAUCCCCAUUUUUUUAAAAAAAAGGAACAGUGUUAGAUAAAUAAAAACAGACAGAAGAGCUACAGAAAAUUGCUAAAAUUAAAGCCUGACAAUCCUGGGUUUACAAGGACAAGAAAAGCACAUUUUAAAAAUGAAAUACAGCAUACUUUCAGCUUAUAGAUUCCAAGGAAGCUCACAUGCUACAAUAAUUUUAAAUUGAAGUUACCUGGAAAAAAUAUUAAGAUUACAAAGAAAUCAUGAAACCAAAUUAGAAUAUCUAGGGUGUACAUCCAACGUAAGGGAAUCAGGUGAAGAGUUUGAGCAUGUGUUAAAAAUAAAAAUGGUCCUAUAUUAGCAAUACCUUUACAAAGACUAAUGAAUGAAAGAGGGGGAGGGGAGGGGAGGAAAGCGCAAGAAAAGGAGGAAGCAGUGGAGGCUAUUGUUGGCAGAGAGAGAGAGGGAAUGAGUGAGAGCUCAGAGACAGCUGACACCACAGCGGGGGUGAGAGGGUGCUGUAAGCCCCCCUCCUCCCCCAUUCUGAGGCUCACCCUAGGCCUACCACCAGCCAGUAGGAGACAGCCUGGAGAGUGCACCCCCUCAGGCUCCGCCCAUCUGGGCAUGGAGCCUGACAAUAUAAAAACGUAUAGUGAACUAUUUAAGUACAUGAUGAUGGUGGCAAGAGUAGUAUUUGCAGCAAAAUGGAAGGCAGGAAAAUGUCCAGAUAUGAUGGAAUGGAAGACUAAGCUAUAUGAAUAUGCAUCAAUGACAAAAUUAACAUCUAUAUACACAAUAGGUCAAUUUCAGAAUUUCAAGAUAAAUGGAAAGUUUUUUUAUUGUAUACUUGAAAAUUAAUAAUUAAGAACAAUUGUUAUUAGAUAUGAAGACAGAUGGAAAGAUAUUUAAAUAAAAGUGAAAAAAUUAAGAAUAUAUAUAAGCAAGUUCUAUAUAGAUAUAUGAUUUAAUUGAUGAUAAUAUGCUUUAAAUGAUAGUAGUUUAUUACUUUUUUUUCUAUAUGAUCUAGACGAUGUGUUUAGGUUUUAAUGCAUGAUCUAGAUGAUCAUUGAUGAUAGUAGUAGUGGAUGAUUGUAGAGGUAUGACUUAGAUGUUUGGUUAUAGCUUAUGUUUUCUGUGUUUGAGUUUAUUGAUUGAAAUAAAAAAAAUUAAAAGAAAAAAUAAAAAUGGUCAGGAGAAUCAGUGUGAAGAUUAAAGUUACCAAGAAUAUUGAGAGCAGUUGAAUGAAUCAGAGAAGGAACCAGGCAAAUGAUGACUUAAAAGCAAAGAUUAAAAGGAGAAAAAGAUACAUGAAUUUCAAAACUCAUGAAGAAAUAGAAACAUGAAUGUGAAGAAGAAGGCAUACUGUCAGCACAAUCUAUGUCAAGUGGCUAGUGGAAGAAUAUACAAGAAAGAGUGGCAAGAAUUAUUUUGAGAGGGAGAGGCUCAUGCCUUCAUAAGGGCAAUACCGGUAAGUGAUUGGAUAGAGAGAACUUUAUUAACUGUUGAAUUGCAGUUCAAUAUGCCAAAGGAUGCUGCAGAAUGGAAAUGAAAUGAAGCAGUGAGCGUAAAUAAAAAACUGAAGUUAGGGGAGAUGUUAUCACCCAGGAACCAAAAGUAAAAAUACAACAAAUAUCUUGGAAAACAAAAAGAAAGAAACAGCACAGAUAACAAAAAAAAAUCUUAGAUAAGAGCACCAAAAAUACUGAAAUAGUCACAGUGGCCACAUAAGUUAUAGUUG